UUUCAGGGUGAUAGUAUUAAGAAUAUUAGUAAUAACUGUCUUCAAUUCCUACAUCUUUUGCCUGAGAUAAAGCGUUUGAUGUCAGAAGGCUUUUAUCCUUUUUGACAGUUUCAAACACCUUGGACUCAAAAAGAAUAUUUCAGAUCUCUUAAUACACUAACUGAAUAGCAUCCAUAUAUAAACAGUGUUCACCAUUCGCCAGAUAUUUCUAUUAUCUUCCUCACUUAUUCAGUCUUGUCUGUGAUUAAUGGAGUUGGUGUCAGAUGCUGGAAUUUAUUCUGACCAAUGAACACAAUGAACACAGCUGACUCAGGGGAGUAGGAUCUCCUGCCAAGUAAUAGAACAAAACCCAAUAUGCAUAAAACUAAUCGGAGGCUCCAGGCUUCAGCUGAGGGAAGCAACUACCUGUGUAAUAACAAAGCAGCAGAAGCUGUAUCAUGGCGGUGUAGGCUGUGCAUUGUAUCUAAUCUCUCAGGGUAGCUUACUGGUUUGUCUGUUCCAAAAGCGAGAUUGGGAAUGUUCCUUAAAAUGAGUCAUAUGACAUAAUGGCUUGAUGAAUGGUUUGAACAAUACCAAGACAUUGUUUACUUAAAUUAUUUUUGUUUGAAGUAGAUGUGAAAUACUGUCCUUGCCUAAAUAUUUCAGGGUUGGUGCUAAUUAUUAGUUGUUAACAAGACAUCUUGUUAAAUCAACUUUCGAAGAGACAGUGCUUUUGCAUCUGAACAGUAAGGUAGUUGUCAAACAGGUGUGCUAGAAAGUCAGUGGUUGAUGUUCCUACAGUUCAAAGAGCUAUACAAAUGAUGUAAAAC
Molecule: long non-coding RNA, 809 nt
Filed under: Bos taurus (domestic cattle)
Lineage: Eukaryota; Metazoa; Chordata; Mammalia; Artiodactyla; Bovidae
Description: long non-coding RNA NONBTAT013466
Source: RNAcentral